This is a non-coding RNA of Bactrocera oleae (olive fruit fly), 2441 nucleotides long. NCBI's taxonomy places the organism in Eukaryota, Metazoa, Arthropoda, Insecta, Diptera, Tephritidae. The record is from RefSeq and is a predicted model, not a curated record.
UGGAUAAAUCUAUUUUGUACUUUUUUACCUUUAUUUUAAAUUUUUGAAUUUUUAAUCACCGCUAAUGUUAAUGGUAUAAAGUAUUUCAGCAAUUUUUACAAGCUUAGUGGUUAAGUUAUUCUUUUGUAUGAUUUUAAUUUAAAAGGCAGCCUGUGUUGCACUUGGCUAUGCUAAAAUUGUAGAUUGGAAUUUUUUGACACCUCAUUUAUUAUGACCGCCGCCAUUCCAGCCACAGCUGUUGGAAUUAUUUUAUAAUUAGAUAUUUUUUCUUUCAUUUGCCUUCUUCAACGAAUUGCUGAUGAGUAAACAAUUAGUAACAUAUGAAAUACAUUUCGUAGCUGCACACGAUUCGCCGCGGGAUAUUCCACAACGCACAAGUAUCAAAUGUACAUAACUACCCAUAUACAUAUGUAUGUACUCAUAUGAGUAAAUCCUCUUGUAUCCGCAUAAAUUUUAUUUCAAUGACAACAAUGACAAAUUUGACGUGCCAAAACUUUUGAGCUGAGUCAAUAGUUAAAUUAUGGAAAUAAAAACAAAAAUUACAUGUGUAUAUACAAACAGUCAUUGAUACACAUCAGCGGUGUGAGAGGCGUGUGUUGCAUUUAAAUUUAUAGCCUGAAACAGUGAAAUAGUAAUGGGUAUUUAUAAUAAUAAUAAUAAUGAUGGAGCACAAAUAACCAUGAAAGGUUUCAAUCAAACGUGCCAAGCAAUUGUCACCUUUCCUGUUGCAGUGCUCCGGAGGUGGUAAAAAACAAAGCCUGCAACCAUAAAAUUCGCGCUGAGAGCAAAAAUUCGUGUAUAUUCAUUGGCGACUGCCGGCGUUAGUAAUUCAUAAUUAUAUCAUGCAAAAUUGUAAAUUCCAUAUGAAACCAUGUGUUUUUUUUGUGGGGGAGUAUAAGUUGAUCUGAUUUAUAUGGCGAUAGUUUAUGGGGUGCUUGUAAAGUUUAGCUUGCCUUUAGACACAUUUACAUACGUGUAUGUAUUUAAUUUAAUAAUUGUAAGCUUGCAACAACUGGUCUUUAAGGAAAUAGAUAGAGUGCUGCAAAAACUAACAAACAAUGAAAUGUGAGCAAGGCAAACAAUAUUUUUUUUUUUUACUUAAGAGCAAGGAAAACAAAACAAGUAAGAAAGCGCUAAGUUCGGGUGUAACCGAACAUUUGAUACUCUUGCAGAAUAAAGGCGGAGGAACUUCUUCAGGCUUUGGCAAAAUUUUAUAGCAAUUAAGGAAAGUAUCGUCGUGAUUUCAUUCUUUAAAGGAAAGAGGAUACACUGUUAUUAGAAAGGGAUUAUUUCUGAAUUGCAUUAAGAUUUCUUAUAUAUUGACCGAUAGAUGCGGUAUAAAGUGAAUGGAGUCAACCGUAGGUUCGAAAAUACUUAUGUUAGGUAUAUGGGGGCUAAGGGAAGUAUUGACCUGCUUUUACUUAGUUUUGGCACAAGUUUUAGUGCGAUUUCGACAAUUUUUGGACGAAAGAUAAAAUAUCUUGGGAGCACUAUUUGUGCAAAGCUUUAUUCUGAUAACUUUAUUGAUGUUUGAUUGGUAUACUGUAAAAAGAAAGAAUUUGCUGGAAGUUUAAAGUUUGUUAUAUGCGAAUUAGGCGUGAUUUUCAUCCGAUUUCUGACCUGGAUGUGAAAUUUAAUGCUUGUGGCUUAUUUAUGCAAGUUUGACACUCGGACAGGCAGAUCGACAGAUGGGCGGACAGACCAACUUUCAACUCGGCUCUUCAUCCUGAUAUUUUUAAUAUACAAAUAUAACUCAAUAUCUCUCACGACUAGUUUUAGGUGAUACAAACAACCGUUAGGUGAAUAAAACUAUUAUACGCUGUGGCAACAUAUUGCAAGAGUAUUAAAGUUGCCUUCUAGUUUGAAAUCUUACGUCGUUAGCCCAAAUUGCGGGGUUUACCAAAAAAAUAAUCAACGGCAGCAGCGGCAGACAGGCGGAAUGGUAACAAACGCGUAUAGGCUAAGAACCAAGGUUACAACAAAUGCAUUAAAAACACAAUUGGAAUAAAAUUUAAAUAAUUUUUUAUUUAUUUUGUAAACCCAAAAAUCGUAGUAAAAAAAUUCAAUUUCGGGAUGCCUCGUUUACAGCAGUUACUACAUUAACAGGUAUAUGAAAUAAAAAACAGAUUUAAAUUUAGUGAGGACUUUUUUACAUUUUUUGAGAAAAUUUGCUUAGUAAUGUAUUUAUUUUUUAUACCAUCAAAAAACAGCAAUUUCAAGAAGAAAAUGUUUUUAUUUUAAAAACAAAAAGUAAUGUUGACCGGAGAAUUUUCGAUUGAAAGUUAGGGUGAUUUUCCGAUGUUAUGUUAAAAUAAUGUGAAAAAUAAAUAUUUUAAAUCGAAAAAGUUACAGUGUAUUUGCGACAGAAAACGAUUAGUUUACACCAAACUUCGUGAAAGGAAAUGUUUUUUGUAAAAGCUAAAAAUAAAAAAAAAAAUAAA